Molecule: ribosomal RNA, 830 nt
Filed under: Dictyocoela sp. BLAC LAC1
Lineage: Eukaryota; Fungi; Microsporidia
Description: SSU rRNA
Rfam family: Microsporidia small subunit ribosomal RNA
Source: RNAcentral
CACCAGGUUGAUUCUGCCUGACGUGGACGCUAGUCUCACAGAUUUAGCCAUGCAUGUGUAAGCGAAGCUUUUAGUGGAGCGGUGAAAGGCUCAGUAACGGGCGAUUUAUUUGUUCUCCUGUGACGGACAACAUCGGGAAACUGAUGGGAAAACGUCUAAGUUGCAGUUAAUUGAUUGUGACGUAAACGAUUUUGUGCAGGAGAGUAAGAUGCCAUCCUAUCAGUUAGUAAGUAGGGUAAGGGCCUACUUAGACGAAGACGGGUACGGGGAAUGAGGGUUUGAUUCCGGAGAGGGAGCCUGAGAGAUGGCUACCAGGACCAAGGUCAGCAGCAGGCGCGAAAAUUAUCGAAGCCCGCCUAGGGGCGAUAGUGAGGAGACGUGUAUAACGAAGUACGUGUAAAGAACGUGCUAAUAACUGGAGGUCAAGUCUGGUGCCAGCAUCCGCGGUAAUUCCAGCUCCAGGGGUGUCUAUGAUGAUUGCUGCGAUUAAAAAGUCCGUAGUCAAUCUGACUGACUGACCUGCAAUGUGAUUGAUUAAAGAACGAGCAGGGUUAGGAAAGCAGAGAAUUAGGAGCGACCGAGGGCUAGAGUAUUGAAUGGCGAGAGGUGAAAUUUGAUGACCCAUUCAGGAGUGACAAAGGCGAAGGCACUAGUCAAGGGCGAAUCCGAUGAUCAAGGACGUAGGCUAGAGUUUCGAAAACGAUUAGAGACCGGAGUAGUUCUAGCAGUAAACUAUGCCGACGCCGUGGUAUCAUUUUGGUAUUGCGGAAGAGAAAUCAAGUAAGGCUUUGGGGAGAGUACGCGCGCAAGCGAUAAAUUUAAAGGAAAUU